GGACACGCAUCUCGAAGAACAAUCGUUACUGCACAAGGUGGAAACAGUUAACAAAGGUGGUUUGCUGAAAAGGAGGCUGCCUCUCAAACCUCCUCCUAUCUGACCUGACAGCAAUUGUGAGUGGAAAUCCUCACAGAUGCAUAAGAGCGGCUAUACAGGGUCAGACCAACAGUCCAUCCAGCCCAGUAUCCUGUUUGCCGACAGUGGCCAAUACCAGAUGCCUCAGAGGGAAGGAACACAACAGGUGCCUUUUCUUCACUGCAGCAAACCUUUUUAUUACAUCCAAAGGGGAGCAAGUGCUGGAGUAACCAGGAGGUGGCAGUCAUGGCAUGCUUCUUUGGUAUUGUUCUUCUGCAACCAGCAGGAGCAUUAGAGCCCAGGAACAAUCAAUGGCAUUUAAAUGUUGUUUGAUGGAACGGGUAGGUGGUGGUGAGGGGGGACAGGCUGGCAUUUGACUGCAGCAUGCGCACUGGAAAAGCUGGCUGGAUUCCCAGCUCCCAAAGAAGGAAUAAAACUCCCAGGCUUUUGGUGGCAAGGACUUUACAAAGGUUGUAAAAUGUCACUGCAGGAUGAGUGGAAUUGGCAUGCCCCCCAUUCACACAGAAAAGCUGAUGUUCCUGCAAUGGCAUUCCCACUUAGCUAUACACCCCUUGGUUUAGUGGGGCUUGCAGGUGCUGAUUGUGUUCCAUGUGUUAUCCAGUAUGUUUGCCAGGUUCCUGGUAAGACACUCUUAGUUCUUAUAUGGCUCUCUUCCUCAGUCAAUCCCAAAGUACAUUAUAAAGGAAUUCAGUAUCAUCAUCCCCAUUUUACAGAUGGGGAAACUGAGACACAGAGCAGUGAUGCGACUUGGUCUAUGUUCACUCAACAGCACUUAGGCAGCUGGUGGGCUAAAGGCACAGCCUGACAUGUUGGCCAAUAUUUUCUCAUUGUUUCCAUGUGCUCCCCAGGCUGUAUGUACCUCUCUGGGAUUUCCUAUCUCUGAGCUUUUCGGGCAGGAGCUUUUUGUUCUAUGUUUGUACAGCAUUGUAGCACCUGGUUCAUGACGGUAGCUCCCAGGUGCUACAAUAAUACAAACAAUAAAUCACCAUAAUAAUAGAGCCAGGACUAAAACUCCUAGCUUCAUGUAGUGCACUACCCCCUAGACGACGCUACCUUCUCAGUCACAUCCAGCCAAACCAUGUCCAGUGCAACCAAGAAGAGAAUUUGGUACAUAAGGGUCCAUUUCCAAUGGGCCAGAUUCUAUCCACUGGGUUUCACAGGGUGUAAAUCAAAGAGAGAAUUUGCCCCCAAUGUGAUUUGUAAUACUGGACAGUCAAGAGGCUACAACUGAACUGGGUUCCAGGGUGCUUCAUUCUGUACAAACACAUCGUGAGAGAUGGUCCCUGCACUUAACACCUCACAGUCCACAUAGACAAGACAAAGGUGGGAGAAAGAAGGAUCAUGUCUCCAUUUUAUAGACCGGGACUGCACUACAUAAAGACUAAGUGACUCACCCAAUGUUACACAUGGAGUCAGUGGCAGAGCCAAGUGUAAAAUCUAGAUCUCCUGAGCCCCAAUCCACUACCUUAACUGUGUGACUGUCCUUCCUCUGUGAGACCUAGUUUAUCUUACGACUUCAUGCACAUUGCAGUAGGGAGCAAAGGUGGUGGGGCACAGCCACUCAAAACUUGGGGGAAAUGCUGACUUGUAAUUGCUAAUGUAGCUAUAGUAGUUCUUGUGGCCUAUGUAGCUGGUAUCUGUUAUGACUUUCUACUGCUCCUCUAUUGGGGAAAAAGCCCAGCUUUCUGGCUGCAGGGGCACCUGCCAUGCCUGUAUUCUGAUACCACCAGCUGCAGAUGAGUCACAUACACUGUGCUAUCUUUCAUAGCAACCUUACUUAUGUUCUUUCUUGGGCUGUUGUUUUCUUAGCACCAUUGCCCUUUAUUUUAAGCUAACAGCUUGUGCCGGCUCUUAAUGCUGAGCUUUGCAGUCAUAGCUUAGUACUGCAUAGACAAUGAGCUCUGCAAAGUAGUAUGGAACAAAAGGGGCUGGAGUGACAAAUUCAUGCAACAAGCACGGGGCUGCAGAGCUGUGCCGGUGCUGAACUAUGGCACCUUACAUGAUUACAAAGGAAGCACAUGAGCGCUGCGUGGUACUGAGAUCUCAAGAAGCGGUGAAUUCUUACUUCAAGUGGCUGGUGUCCUUGCUCUCCAAGUCACCUUCCAGGGAUGCAGGGGAAGAUGGUGGAGAGAGGCUGCUGCGUCAGGGGGAGCGUCACGGGUGCAGAGGGGGAGAGGAGCCCUCCAAUCUGUCGUUUCAGUAGUGCGGGGACAUUGUUUGUCAGUUUUUCUUAGGCAGCUUCACUCACUACCUUCCAUUCACCCUUCAUGAUUUACUAAAUCGCUGGGAGUGCCUGCUUCUCUGCUGACCUCUUUCAAAGCAGAUUUGGAGUGCAGCGACGAGCCAGGCCUGUUUGCAUUUCCAGUGAAAUCUGUCCCUAAAGAACACCCAAGGGACUGCUCUUUACCUGGGUGCUAUAACAGAUGGCUGCAUAAUGCGGUGCAAUUAAUACAGCCACGCCUGCAGGGGCUGAAAAUUUACUGCCUGAUAGGAGAGGUUACUGCAGCUAGGAGGUGACUAAGCACAAGUGUCCCUGUGCUUAUUCCUAAUAACCACAUCCCAGGAUCUCCCAGCGCUCUGAAGAUACCACCAUCCCCUAUGAGAUAGGGAAGCAUUUUAGCCACAUCUCACAGUUGAGGCGCUGGGGGUUGAUCAAAGUCACACAAGGAGUUUGUGGCAGUGCUGGGAGUAGGCACAGUAGGGAAUGUAGGAAGCCAUAUCAAAAAAGAGCUUGCUCAGAGGGAGUCGCUGCCUCACUAGUUAGGAGAGAUUCUUCCACAAGUUCCAAAUGGGGCAAAUGGAACUGGUCCCGGAAGUGGGGCUAGCAGACUCUCCCAGAGCAUAGGGACCACGACACAGUCUGGGAGCUGCUGGUGUAUACUGUCUGGACAGAGGAGAGUUAAGGCAAGAAUUGGAUUGUAGCUUUCCAGGGGAUUCUGUCUAGGUUUCUCAUGUUUUAAGUUUGUGUUUGGGGGUUUUAUGCUGGCUUGGCUCAGCCAGAGGCAGAGACACUGCAAACUCCCAGUGGUGGAGCAGUGCAGUGCAAACUCCCAGUGCAAAGUUGGUGAAAAGUGCAGAUUUGUCGAAACUCAACUUUUGGCAGGAGAGGGCUGGAUUUGACAGAACUUUUGCCGGGCAGGCGUCUGCGUGCACAUGUGCACAAGGAUAGCGCAGCACUGUGUGCAUGGAGGGGUGAAAAUAGCUAAGUGGCUAGAGGUUCAUCUUGCUGCAGGCUGGGAAAUGUGUGAAACCUCCAAUAUGAUUGAGGGACGGGGAAACCAUUCCCCACCCAGCUGGCCUAACAGUGAAGCAGCCCUAGGAAGAGAAUCCAGGAGUUCUGCUUCCCCAGUGGGAAUGGGCCUGGGGCACGUGUCGCUGUUCAAUAGAACAACCCUGUGAGGGCGGCUGAAUCUCUACAGUCCCUGGAACAUCAUCUGCCAGUGCCGGGGGGAGGGGGGUGGAGAGAGAGCCAGGGAGCUGCUCAGUGAUUUCACAAUCCUUGUUAAUGAAGCUGCUCAACCGGCCACUAACUCCUAGGGGCUUAGGAGCUGGGCCGUAACUGACAGGCUGUCAAUUUUUGUCCCACUAGCUCCUUCUAUGGUUCUUCCUUUCACAGAUCUGAAUCUACGGUUCCCGCUUCCCAAUUACUGUGGUCUCAGGAGGGCCUUUUCAAUUAGCCUAUUAGCCCAUUUAGAGGUUCUCAAAAACCCCUCAUUGCUGAGUUCGCUCAAAGUUAUUCACGGUGCUUGCUUAGGUGAGACGCCGAUGCCUAGGGGAAGUGGCCUCUGCAAAGUGCCUGUCUCCUUGCCAAAUAACCCGGGGCAAACCCAGAGCUUCCUAACCAUGCUGAUGUUAUUCUGCAGCCCUCCCAGGGCUCAGUCCCAGCAUGAAUGCCGCACGCCCCUUCCUCAUGCAUUGGGCACAGUUAGGCACAGCUGCAGAGCAGGCUUCACUUUGAAACCUCCCCUCCUUAGGGGGAGAGGGAAUGACAGUCACACUCAGGGCCAUCUUUAGGGGUGUGUGGGUCCCGGGAUGCCCCUCCCCACCCCCAUGCUCCAACCCAGGCCCUGCCGCAAUUUGUCUCACUCUUCCCAUCCUCACUUGUACCCUUCCCUCGAGCCUCCACCCUCUCCUGCCCCCAUUGCAGCCCUUUCCCCAAGCACUGCAGUCCAGGGAAUUAUUGGGGCUGGCGUGGGGUGGCAACUGGGGUCGGGCCCCUGAACUCACCAUGGUGGCAGGAGCCAUGGGAAGCAGAGCAGAAGUGGAGUGACCCAGCCCACUCCAUUCCCGAGGGAGAGCUACGCAGCAGGUGGGUCACUACUUGCCACAGUUCCCCUGCCACGGUGUGUGUGGGGGGGGGCCCGACCCCUGUAA
Pelodiscus sinensis (Chinese soft-shelled turtle) is the source of this 4473-nucleotide non-coding RNA. The record is from RefSeq and is a predicted model, not a curated record. Lineage: Eukaryota; Metazoa; Chordata; Testudines; Trionychidae.